GACGAACGCUGGCGGCGUGCUUAACACAUGCAAGUCGAACGGAAAGGCCCUGCUUUUGUGGGGUGCUCGAGUGGCGAACGGGUGAGUAACACGUGAGUAACCUGCCCUUGACUUUGGGAUAACUUCAGGAAACUGGGGCUAAUACCGGAUAGGAGCUCCUGCUGCAUGGUGGGGGUUGGAAAGUUUCGGCGGUUGGGGAUGGACUCGCGGCUUAUCAGCUUGUUGGUGGGGUAGUGGCUUACCAAGGCUUUGACGGGUAGCCGGCCUGAGAGGGUGACCGGCCACAUUGGGACUGGGAUACGGCCCAGACUCCUACGGGAGGCAGCAGUGGGGAAUAUUGCACAAUGGGCGGAAGCCUGAUGCAGCAUCGCCGCGUGCGGGAUGACGGCCUUCGGGUUGUAAACCGCUUUCGCCUGUGACGAAGCGUGAGUGACGGUAAUGGGUAAAGAAGCACCGGCUAACUACGUG
Molecule: ribosomal RNA, 468 nt
Filed under: uncultured bacterium
Lineage: Bacteria
Description: partial 16S ribosomal RNA
Rfam family: Bacterial small subunit ribosomal RNA
Source: RNAcentral